AUGGAUGGAUCGAGGAGAAAUAAAGAGAACCUUGACUGGGGCACCAUUCUGUUCCAAAGAAUGGCAAGAAAGGAUGAAGAAUUGGCUGGAGGUAAAAAUCUCAUUGAAAAUCUUUGUCAGUGGGUGAGUUCUCUUUUCUUACUUCUAGGAUAUCUGUAUCCUCUUAGGAUACAGAAAACAAAAUUACCUAAAUUUCAUAAAACUUUCCUGAUCACACUUAGGAGUUUAGUAGGAAAAAGGAAAGAAAGGGCUGAAAAACUACAUUCUCUUCAUAUAUACCUUUCUUACUUCUUUCUUAGGUUACCAGCUAUUCUUACUUCUUACACAGGUUACCAGCUAUUCCUUACCAUUAUUUCUAUAGAAGUUCUAUAGAUCAAAUACAGGGUUCUAACUUAUGGUUCUGCUAUUUAUUUAUCUGUGUGACUUGGGAAAGUUUUGAAAUAUAUUCUAGUUUUGCCUUUGCAAAAUGCAGAUAAUAUGCACUUCAUAAGGUUGUCGUGAGGACUAAACAAGAUAUCAUGGAAAAUAUCUGGUUCAGAGUCUGGGGCAGAGAAUGCCCGCAGUAAUAUCCUGAUGUUUUUUAUUCAAUGAUAAGAGCUCAUAAGCAAGGAAAUAGGAUAUGCCAAAAAGAAUACCUCCUUCAUUGAAGGCUUUUAUCCAUGACAUCUGUUAUAUGACUCUAUAAUCUUAAAAUUAGCACAGCAUAGAAUUCUGCAGGACAUUUUGACAAAUGAAAAUAAUUAGAAAUUUUAUUUUUAGUUCAAAUAAUGGUCCCUGAGCAUAUGAAAGUCUCCCUGAUUCAUUGGUAGUGGGUUUUUAAACUCCAUUGUAUCUAUGGCUGUGAACCUACUGUACACAUCCUCUGGGCAUUCUUAACAGGUUUUAACUUGAUGAUAAUUAAUAAAUUGAUAAUUGGUGCUAAGAGAAUUUAAUGUGUCAUGAAAGGAGAAACAGAACAAGUAAGAAAUAUGUAUUUCUAUAAGUGACAUGCUGCUAGAACAAAAGAAAAGCUUGAAGGCUGACUUGACCUUGGCUAACACACUAGAACAUUAGAUAGAUUACCCCCACCCCCUCAAGAGGACCCUUCAUUUAAACACCGAUGGUUGAUGCUAUGAAAGUUAUGCUUUAUUAUACAGUGAUCUGACAGAAACUCUUGAAUUAUUAAUAAUUAGUGUUUAAAUGUGAAAUUCACACAGAAUUAUAUCUGCAGCCUUUAAAGGAAAAGUGAUGCACAUAUUACCUUUGAAAAACUUGUAGUAGAAAGUCAUAUUCAAUAUUCCAGUAAUUACUCUCCUUUAGUAAGAAAGAUCUCUGUGUACACUGUCUUCAUCAUUCUCAAUAAGUUACCUAAUGUUCAACACAGUUGUACUCACCCAAUAAUAAAAGUUAAGAAUCCAUACAAUGCUUUUUAAAGGGCUCCUGCAAGUUGUUUUUUUUGUUAAAUCUAUUAUUAUUAUUUAAUGUCCAGAAAUUGGAAAUGUUUACUUAUCAGAGAUUAUAGGUUGUUAUGUGCUUCAGACUAGAGUCAUGGCCUCAGAAUAGGGCUGUCCAGUGAGAAUAGCGCCUCUGGCAUCAUUACUUCCCUUGAAAAAUGGAGAAAGAAGUAAGAAAGGUAUAUGUGAAGAGAAUAUUAUUUUUCAGCCUUUUCUUUCCUUUUUUUUUCCUAGUAAGUUCCUAAGUGUGAUCAGGAAAGUUUUGCUAAAUUUAGCUAAUUUUUGUUUUCUGUAUCCUAAGAGGAUGAAGAGUUGGCUGGAGGUAAAAAUCUCAUUGAAAAUCUUUGUCAGUGGGUGAUUUCUCUUUCUAUUUCUAUGAUUUCUAAUGUACACAGAUUACUAGCUGUGUCUACUGUCUCACCUACUGACUGAUCAUGUGAAAGGUUUGAGGUCCACACUGUCUACUCAGUAUCUCAAAGCAGGUGUCUCAAAGAAAACUUAAAUUGCCAUGUCUAAAACAGAAUUGAGCUCAUUGUUUGUACCUCCCACCCCUAUGUGUUCUCCUUUUGUGUUUCCCAACUCAGCAAAUGGCACCACUAAUUGCUCAGGUGACUAAGCCAGGAACUGGAGGAUUAUUCUUGCUCUGAAUGUAUCCUUGUACUUCAAGUCCCACUAUCACAACUGACUAUUUUACUUCUUAAUAUCUUUCAAAUUGAUCUGUUUCUCUUCAUCUUAACUGCCAUUGCUUUAAACAAGUCAUCAGCAUCUCUCACUUGGAUGACUUCAGUAGCCAUUUAAUUGGUGUCUGUAUUUCCCUUCUCCCUUUCCAAUCGAUUCUCUGUCACGCUAGUGAUAGUUUAAAACCAAAUUGGAUCAACAGACCUAGUUAAAAUCAUUGCUGUUGGGAUAAAGCCUGUUUGAACUGGCCCCGUCUUAUUCCUCCGGGUUGAUCUGUCAUCUCCUCUUCAUUGGCCACAUAUGUCUUCUUAGAAUUCUUCAGCUGUAAUGUGCUCUGUCUCACAACACAGCUCACUUCAGUUCACUCCUAUUCAUCUUUCAGACCUCAGAGCAAAAGUUACCCUGGGAAGCUUUCGUAGACACUUCAGGCUCAGUGAAAUACUCAUUCUGUGCUUUUAUUGCACUGGGUUCCUUUUACUUCAACAUUUAUCACACAUAUACAUUGUGUGAUCAUUUGUUUGAUAUCUGUGCAGGAACCCUGUCUAUUAGGCUCACCAUUGUAGCCUGGUGUCUGUCAUAUUGUAGCUUCCCUCUCCCCUUGUUAAUAUUCAUUCCCUAGUUUCAUUUUAUGGCUCUUUUCUAUGUUUCAUCUUCAGGGUUGGGUUGGGAAGGAAGUCAGAGUCUAUUAUAAUUAGCCAUCUUGUCAGGAACAGAGAACUCCCUAUUUCCAUUUCCUGUAAUUUUCAUAGUUAAAAUUGUAAUGACUUCAGUAUGUUGCACCAUGAUGGUUAAUAUUAGGUGUCAGCUUGACUGGAUUGAGGGAUGCCCAGAUGCCUGAUACAGGAUUGUUUCCGGGUGUAUCUGUAAGAGUGUUCCCAGAGGAGAGUGACAUGUGAGUCAGUGGACUGGGAGAGGAAGACCUACCCUCAUGGUGGGUGGACACCAUCCAAUCGUCUGCCAGUGCAGCUAGAACAAAGUAGGCAGAAGAAGGUGGCUAAGUUUGCUUGCUGAGUCUUCCGGCUCUUUGUAUUCUUCCUGUGCCAGACACUUGCUUCCGCUUCUCUUGCCCUUGUACAUCAGCCUCCAGGUUCUUUGUGCUUCGGACCCUGGGACUUUCACCAGCAGCUUCCCAGGGGCUCGUGGGCCUUCAGCUGCAGACUGAAGGCUGCAUUGUUAGCUUUGCUGUUUUUUAGGCUUUUGGACUUAGAGUGAGCCACUACUGGCUUCUCUUGUCCCCAGCUUGCAGAUGGCCUUUUGUUGGACUUUGCCUUAUAAUUAUGUGAGGCAGUUCUCCCUAAUAAACUCGCUUUUAUUUAUACAUAUAUCCUAUUGGUUCUGUCCCUCUGGAGCACCUUAGUACAUCCACCUUAUUAAUGUGCUACAAUGUGAGAUAUUUCCUAAGGCAGGGAAAAUGAAACAGUAGUAUUUAGGAUCAUAUACACGUUUUAAAAAUAUAAAAAGCAAUGAGAUGGCUACUAUAAAAGUCAGGAUAGAUAUUACUUCUGUGGGAGGAAAAAGAUUGUAAUUAGUAAGGAAAAUGUCAGGAGCAUCCGAAGGGUGGCAAACUUUUUGUUUCUUGACAUGAGUGGUGAUUAGGAUGGGCUACAUAAUUUGUGAGGCCUGUGCAAAAUAAAAAUGUAGGGCCUCUGGCUUAAAAAUUACUUAAAAAUCUCAACACAGAGACAGCAGAGGAGUAAACCAAGCAUGAGGCUCUUCUAAAUGUGGGUUCCUGUGUGACUGCAUGCCCAUGAAGUCAGCCCUGACGGUGAUUGUAUUAGUAUUCACUCUAAAAUACUUUGUUCAGCUAGAUAUUUAUAUUUUACACAUUUUCUCCAUGUUUGUUGUAUGUUACAACAAAAAAUAUUAGAAAUAAUUGAAUAAAAAGAAAUAUCGAAUAAAAAGAAUGAACUAGAACUCUAAAUGAUUACCAUGAGGUGUUCUUACUGAUUAGGAGGAGAAAAAAAGGAUAGAAAUAUAAACAAAUAAGGCCGGGAGUGGUGGCUCAUGCCUGUAAUCCCAGCACUUUGGGAGGCUGAGGUGGGUGGAUCACGAGGUCAGGAGUUCAAGACCAGCCUGGCCAAGAUGGUGAAACCCCAUCUCUACUAAAAAUAAAAAAAAUUAGCCAGGUGUGGUGGUGAGCACCUGUAAUCCCAGCUACUCAGGAGGCUGGGACAGAGAAUUGCUUGAACCCAGGAGGUGGAGGUUGCAGUGAGCUGAGAUUGUGCCACUGCACUCCAGCCUGGGAGACAGAGAGAGACUCAUCUAAAAAAUAUAUAUAUAUAUAUACACACACACAAAUAUAAAGAAAUAUGGAGAGUAGGAAUAGUCUUAACCUCUGUACAAUAGAAGACUCCAAAGGAGAGGAAAAAAUAAGCAAAGAGGUAUAAAUAUUUUAAGAAAUAAUAAUGGAGAAAUUUACAGAAUAAGAAGAAGUAGAAGCAACCUAAACAUUACAAAAUAGUAUAGUUAAAAAUAAACUUACACUUAGAUAUACUGUAAUAAAAUGUAGAAACAACUAAGAACCAAAGAAAACUCUAAAAGCUUCUGAGGGAAGGAACAGAUCACCAGUAAAGGAACAAGAAUAAAAUUAAUGUCAAACUUCUCUUUAAUGACAUGAGAUGCAAGAUCACAAUGAAGUAGCAUCUUCAAAUUGUUAGAGAAAAAAAUCCUUAGACCUUAAAAUACACCAGUAGUCUUCUAACUUUUUGAUCUAAGAACUCCUUUACACUCAUAAAAAUCAUUGAG
Long non-coding RNA from Papio anubis (olive baboon), 4856 nucleotides. Lineage: Eukaryota; Metazoa; Chordata; Mammalia; Primates; Cercopithecidae. The record is from Ensembl.